This 106-nucleotide small nuclear RNA is filed under the name Homo sapiens (human). The record is from RNAcentral. Lineage: Eukaryota; Metazoa; Chordata; Mammalia; Primates; Hominidae.
GUUUGCUUCAGCAGUACAUAUGCUAAAAUGGGAAUGAUACAGAGAAGAUUAGCAUUGGCCCCUGUGCAAGGAUGACAUGCAAAUUAGUGAAGUGUUCCAUAUUUUA